CUGAAGUUACAUUUUAGAUGCUGAAAUCACUGCACCUUAAAAACAAAACAAAAAAGGUUGAAUUGAAUUGCAUUCCUGUUCACAUGAUGGCUCCAGAAGUACCCCCUAGCUUGGAAUGGAAAUAGUUUAGAAACAACUUCUUAGACAGUUCUACAAACCUGAAGAAAGAGGCAACUGCUAUAACAUUUGGAAAAGAGGUGCUUUUUGCAUGUCCUUGCAUGUAUGUUUUCAAUUCUUUGGUUCUUUUAAAUAAUUUCUCAAAACCUAGACUGUAAUAAAUAGAAACCCAUCAGAAACCUACAUAGAAUUCCUUCUUUCAGACAUGUAACUCCUACAUGAGAUUAUUCAUGUGUGAAUGUAUACCAAGAAGUAAUAUAUUUCUUAUCAUGGUCCACAUAAGGUUUCUUUGACCUAUUGUAUAUGUUAAAUUUUGCAAUUAGCUCCUUGGUUAUCAUAUACCUCCAUUACUUUCAUUUGUGCUAUGUGUUUGUGGAAUAACAUAAAUAUCAUUGUACUGGGGUUUUUACAGAACUUAUAAAAUUCUUAGGAAUAAACAGUACUGUAAAUCAAAUCAAAUAAUGAAUGCAAAAAAAAAA
Molecule: non-coding RNA, 596 nt
Organism: Pseudonaja textilis
Lineage: Eukaryota; Metazoa; Chordata; Lepidosauria; Squamata; Elapidae
Source: RefSeq, a predicted model, not a curated record